Long non-coding RNA from Camponotus floridanus (Florida carpenter ant), 2099 nucleotides. RefSeq lists it as uncharacterized. The transcript is spliced from 3 exons. NCBI's taxonomy places the organism in Eukaryota, Metazoa, Arthropoda, Insecta, Hymenoptera, Formicidae. The record is from RefSeq and is a predicted model, not a curated record.
UGUUUGACGUUACACGUGCGCUUGAUUGUGCGCGCUCUUCGGAGGAACUCGUACGUGAAAUUUCCCUCUCCUCGUUCACGAAAGAAUAAUAUCCGUGUCCACGAGUCACGAGAUCAAUUAACAAGUCUCUGGGGACAAAAAGAGUAGACGAUCGAACUUUUCGAGCAGUUGUAUUAUCACCUCUCUCAACUUUUCUUCGUACUUUCGAGCGCUACAAGCUGACAGCGGGACGUCUGUCCCGAAUACACACGCGAUGCAAGCCGCGCGAGUCGACGUGUGUCAGAGCUCUUCUGACUCGGCAGAAGCACAGACAGAAACGAAACUACGAAACUACACAACGUGACUAACGGCGCACAGAAAAGCGAGCGUGGUCGUGUGCGUGUUCACGUGCGUGCGUGCGUGCGUGCCAGGGGAAGGGGGACGAGAAUGGAGGAGCCGACAGAGAAGGCCAAAGAGGGAGAGAGAGUGGAAAAAUGAAGAGAGGGAUGGAAAGAGCGCGGCAACGGAACGCUGGGAUAUCCACCACGCGCUAACCAAUUCCGCGAGCGUCGCGCGCGUGCGUGUGCGCGCGCACACUAAUGUACGUGAAUGUGUGCAGAGAAGCGUAUCCUCCCGUCGAGCGUGGAACGGACGAGAGCGUCGAGCUGUCAGCGCACCCCACCCCGAAAUCCCCUUUGAAACCAAUCCCUCCCAUCGUGACAAACUCCCCCCCCUCCCUUCUCUCCCGUGUCGCAGGCUCUUUCCCUUGACUAGUCGUUCCUCCAUCCCUCUUCGGACAACCCCCGGCUGUCUCAACGUCGAAAGCACUGCGCGCCUCGCACGAAAGCCGAGUAAUAAGGAAGAACUACUCUCGUCCAUCUCCUGACGCGCGGAUCAAAAUUAUCUCUCGAUAUACAAUAAAUACAAGAAAUUCUGCAUGCAAGUUGUAGAUUGUCUUGUUUGUUAAUUAUAUAUCCUUUUGCGUUAGGAUGAAAUUUUUAUCUCGACUAACGAAUGGUGGAUUCCGAAAGGAAAGAGAUGAAGGGACGAAAGAGGAGAGAUGCGCAGAGGGAGGAAAUACGAGGGAACGCCGGAAAGACGACUCGAUCCCUUUCAUUUCCACUGACGCGGACGAAUCAUAAUUCUUAUUCGCCUCCGGCUCGAAAUCAUCCCCUCCUUCUCGGCGCUCCUUCCGGUAUUCUACCUCGACCUCGGCUUUGCCCAUUUCCUUUCUGACCACCCCACUUUCGCAUCGGAGCGUGAACACCCACCCCGAAGCAACCAUAGCGGGAGAUCGAUGCGCGAAAUCAAGCGGGAAUAUCGAGUCUGGAAUCAAGUCCCGGAUCCUUGAAGCGCAAGAAUGUCAGCCGGCAGUCGAAGAGCCGGCUCGCAACAGCAGGCCAGUUAGGGAAAGACUCGUCCGAAAUCCUACGAGGGUGGAAAUUUUUUUCAAAGAAAAUGGAGUUGGCCUGCGUCCGAGCGAAGGCGACGUGAUGACUUUAUCCAAUCGACUCGAUUUCUCAUCCGCAUUCGUUCUCUACCCGCAGGCUGACCCGCAAUCCCAGGGAGGAAAGAGAAGGAAUCGUGGCGAGGGAGAGAAGCGCCCAUGACUUAUGGUCGCCAUUACGGUACCGAUAAUUAUAUGCUGCUCCGCAGCCGCUCCCUCCUGUACGAAAGGAACGAGAGGUAUAUGUAUGUAUGGUAGAUGAUAUCCUGCCUGUGCCCGACGAACUUCGAACAGCCGACCUCUAACGUAACCGCACACGCACAUCAACCAUACGCUCCUCCUGGCUCAUUGAUCGACCCGAUCGAUACGUUCCGGUAUUUCAGAAGAGUUGGAAAGUAAUUGCCUUGAUAUAUAGGGUCGAUCGUUAAUAUGUGCAAUCUGUUCCGUUGCCACAUGUGCUGGCGCGAGUGUCUAGAGAAUUUUCAGCGUCCUCUAUAUUAUUAUAAUCGAUUUUGUUAACGAUGAUUAAUGCUGUAAAUAAUUUGCGGAAGUAUCGUAGGUACGUAUCGAGGUUUAACGAAUCGGAACCGAUUUUAAUACGUCAAUAUUUAUGUAUCGAUAAUAAAUUACGAGGCACCCAAGACAGACAUCUUUUUAUUUUUGAAAAAUGCCU